RNAcentral lists this transfer RNA (74 nucleotides) under Eubacterium sp. 14-2. It matches the Rfam family "tRNA". From Rfam's summary of the family: Transfer RNA (tRNA) molecules are approximately 80 nucleotides in length. Their secondary structure includes four short double-helical elements and three loops (D, anti-codon, and T loops). The record is from Rfam by way of RNAcentral. Lineage: Bacteria; Bacillati; Bacillota; Clostridia; Eubacteriales; Eubacteriaceae.
GGGAGAUUAAUGAUAACUGGAAAUCGCCUAGACUCCAAAUCUACGGUACGAGGGUUCGAUUCCUUCAUCUCCUG